The submitters of this non-coding RNA (53 nucleotides) gave its source as unclassified sequences. The record is from Rfam.
UUCGUUCAACCUAGAAAUAGGUCGGAAGUAGGGUAAUACCGAAGGAACGCGCC